Bactrocera oleae (olive fruit fly) is the source of this 946-nucleotide non-coding RNA. NCBI's taxonomy places the organism in Eukaryota, Metazoa, Arthropoda, Insecta, Diptera, Tephritidae. The record is from RefSeq and is a predicted model, not a curated record.
AUCAGCGUUAAUUAUCUUACAUAUAAAAUAUUAUAAAUUGUAUAGUCAAAAACAACACCAGUACUGAAAUAAGUUAUUAAAAUAUCUUUUAAUUCAUAUAUAAUUUACAUUAAAAGCGUUUAAAUGACACUAUAUGCCAUUAAUGGCAACACUCAAUUCGUUUGACAUUUCUCCGCAGAAACAUGUUGGAUAGCGCCAAGAGAUUUAUCUUAGUGCUUUUAAUUCUGCCACUACUGUACGAGCUCAAUAACGGCGAGCGCAACCUUGGCAUUGGUAUGUAUUACAUGAACUACACUGCCGGUCAAAGGUAUAACUUCAGUGUAUUCAAUUACAAAUUUUACAAUGUGGACAAUAAAAUCAUAGUUUAUGCUGAAUUUAAAUUAUAUGAAGAUGCUAAUUUCACAGUACAUGCCAAACUGGAUGUGCUACGUGCUAAUAAUAAUAAAAUGAAUUUGCUAAAUCUACAGCAAGACGGCUGUAAGCUAAUAAGCGGUGUGCAUAACAAUAGAUUAUGGAUGAUUACAUCAAAGCAGAUUGUUCGAGUUACCAACUUCCCGAAGAAGUGCCCACUUUCUGCAGUAAGUGCGUUAGAGAUUUAAAGAAUAAAUUGUAUAUCGUCAAUAACUACACCUUGGAAGCGGAAUCACUACCUUCAUUCAUAACGCCACUACACUGGAUAAUCCAAACAAAAUUUAUGCUUAACAAAAAAUACGUUGGAUAUAUAAUUCUUCAGGGUAAUAUUUUUAAACUUUAAACGAAUUCCACAAAUUUGAAAACCUGAAAAAAAUUGCGUAUAUUUAAAUAUAAUUGGCUACGAUUCUUUAAGUAGUGUAUUUAAUACAAAUUUCAGGAAAAACUUAUCCGUAAUUUUGAAUAUAUUACUUUCAAACAAUCGGGCGAAGAGACAGCCUACCGGAAAUAAAUUCGUGUCAUCAUGACUUUGAUU